GCGGCGGACGGGUGAGUAACACGUGGGUAACCUGCCUGUAAGACUGGGAUAACUCCGGGAAACCGGGGCUAAUACCGGAUGCUUGAUUGAACCGCAUGGUUCAAUCAUAAAAGGUGGCUUUUAGCUACCACUUACAGAUGGACCCGCGGCGCAUUAGCUAGUUGGUGAGGUAACGGCUCACCAAGGCGACGAUGCGUAGCCGACCUGAGAGGGUGAUCGGCCACACUGGGACUGAGACACGGCCCAGACUCCUACGGGAGGCAGCAGUAGGGAAUCUUCCGCAAUGGACGAAAGUCUGACGGAGCAACGCCGCGUGAGUGAUGAAGGUUUUCGGAUCGUAAAACUCUGUUGUUAGGGAAGAACAAGUACCGUUCGAAUAGGGCGGUACCUUGACGGUACCUAACCAGAAAGCCACGGCUAACUACGUGCCAGCAGCCGCGGUAAUACGUAGGUGGCAAGCGUUGUCCGGAAUUAUUGGGCGUAAAGCGCGCGCAGGCGGUUUCUUAAGUCUGAUGUGAAAGCCCCCGGCUCAACCGGGGAGGGUCAUUGGAAACUGGGGAACUUGAGUGCAGAAGAGGAGAGUGGAAUUC
RNAcentral lists this ribosomal RNA (590 nucleotides) under Bacillus licheniformis. Its description in RNAcentral is "bacterial SSU rRNA". It matches the Rfam family "Bacterial small subunit ribosomal RNA", at positions 95 to 669 of the family's 1533-position model. Lineage: Bacteria; Bacillati; Bacillota; Bacilli; Caryophanales; Bacillaceae. The record is from RNAcentral.